RNAcentral lists this ribosomal RNA (253 nucleotides) under uncultured bacterium. RNAcentral's name for it is "partial 16S ribosomal RNA". It matches the Rfam family "Bacterial small subunit ribosomal RNA", at positions 524 to 776 of the family's 1533-position model. The record is from RNAcentral.
UACAGAGGUCCCAAGCGUUGUUCGGAUUCACUGGGCGUAAAGGGUGCGUAGGCGGUCGGGUAAGUCUGAUGUGAAAUCUCACAGCUUAACUGUGAAACUGCAUUGGAUACUAUUCGGCUUGAGAGUUGGAGGGGGGACUGGAAUUCUUGGUGUAGCAGUGAAAUGCGUAGAUAUCAAGAGGAACACCAGUGGCGAAGGCGAGUCCCUGGACAACUCCUGACACUGAGGCACGAAAGCUAGGGGAGCAAACAGG